Molecule: ribosomal RNA, 254 nt
Filed under: uncultured bacterium
Lineage: Bacteria
Description: partial 16S ribosomal RNA
Rfam family: Bacterial small subunit ribosomal RNA
Source: RNAcentral
UACGAAGGGGGCGAGCGUUGUUCGGAAUUACUGGGCGUAAAGGGCGCGUAGGCGGCUGUUCCAAGUCGGGGGUGAAAGCCUGUGGCUCAACCACAGAAUGGCCUUCGAUACUGGACGGCUCGAGACCGGAAGAGGUGAGUGGAACUGCGAGUGUAGAGGUGAAAUUCGUAGAUAUUCGCAAGAACACCAGUGGCGAAGGCGGCCAACUGGACCAUUACUGACGCUGAGGCGCGAAAGCGUGGGGAGCAAACAGG